Macaca mulatta (Rhesus monkey) is the source of this 2598-nucleotide non-coding RNA. NCBI's taxonomy places the organism in Eukaryota, Metazoa, Chordata, Mammalia, Primates, Cercopithecidae. The record is from RefSeq and is a predicted model, not a curated record.
GUGAGACCCUGUCUUUACAAAAAAUAAAAAAAUUAGCCAAGCGCAGUUAGCUUACACCUAUAGUCCUGGCUACUUAGGAGGAGGCAAGAGGAUUGCUUGAGCCCAAGAAUUUGAAGUUAGUGAACUAUGAUCGCUACUGUACUGCAGUCGGGGCAACAGAGCAAGAGCCUGUCUCUAAAAAAACAACCAGCCAAACCAACAGAAACACACAAAUGCCUUUGUAGUAGGGCCUGAUCCAUUAAAACGUGUUCCUUUUUCUUUCCUUUCCCUGGGCUAGCCCCCUUAACUGUUAGCACCUGGCCCUCUGACACAGUACCUCCAAGCAGCCGUGGCCACUUGGAAGUCCUGCCCCAUUAAAGGCCUUCCCUACAAUUCCUGGAAGUGAUAUCUGAAUAGUGGAUCUUCAGUUCUGAGCCUCUCAUUUCUGCUUCUGCAGACACCCAGGCUCUGUUCUACCCCUACUUCACCUUCUCCUCCAGCUCAGCUGCUCCUUCUUAGGCUAAGCUCUCAGGGAUCAUCCUUCUCAUCCAGACAUGGCCCUUUUUUCUUAUACACUCCAUCCCUGUAGUUUCACUUAUACCCAUGGGUUCAACCACCCAACAACUCGCAAACCAGUCCAGACCUCUCUACUGAGUCCUAGAUCUAAUCUUCCAACUACUCUUUGGAUAGCACUUUAACACACCUUUCUCCUUUUGGCUUUCCUCAGUGGCUUCCCUUCCCAGAGUGAGGUCCAACGUACUUCUCCAGUGUUAUGGGCCGAAUGUGUCCCCCACCAAAUUCAUAUGUUGAAGCCCUAACUCCAAUGUUACAGUAUUUAGAGAUGGGGCUUCUCAGAGUUAACUAGGGUUAGAUAAGGUCAUGAGUACAGCCCUCAUGACGGGAUCAGUGGCCUUGUAAGAGGGUGAGCUCUCCCCAGUGCAUGGACCAAGGGAAAGGCCAUGUGAUGACAUUGAGAAGGUGGCCUUUCCAAGCUAGGAAGAGUCCUCACCUGAAAUUGAAUUGGCUGGUACUCUGAUCUUAGAAUCCCCGGCCUCCAGAACGGUGAAAAAAUGAACUCGAUAAAAAUCCUCUGAAGUCACCUGUAGUAUUUUGUUAUGGCAGGCUGAGACACCCAGAAAGCUCUACAUCACCUGGUAUUUACCCACCCCUCUGAUCUUAUGUCUUCUAUUCUCUUUGUUCUGUUUUAGACACACUGUCUUCCUUAGGUUCUUCAGACAUACCAAGCAUGCUCAGGCUUCAAGGCGUUGGCACUUAACUGGUAUAAAUGGAUGGGCUUUAUGGGGAAGAGGUUAUCCGUAACUCCCUAGAAUUUAUAAGCAAUGCUUUGCAUAUGUACAGUUUCCUGGGGAUAGGACUUGUAGUUUUGAUCAGAUUCUCUAUGUGAACACUGAUAUCCCCCAGCCCCAGUACACUGCUGUGAUCUCUCCUCCUACCUUCCACACAGCUGUUGCUUAACUAUCUAAAACACAGAUGUGUUACUACCAUCACUCCUUCAGUUUUAAAACUUGAACUGUCUCCUCACUCCCUAGUGGACAGUGUACAAUCUUCUCAGCUUACCAUAUAAAGCCUCUCACACCUCAGCUUCAGCUUACCUUUCAAGGUUUAUUUCUCAUUCUCCCCGUUCUCUGAAUACAGCAUGUCUCUCUAGACUUCCUUGCCUUUGUACUUGCAAUUCCUUCUGCCCAGGAGGCCUUCCCUUUCUGUCUCUAUAUAGUGAACUCCUUCCUACUCAUCCUUUAGGACCCAGUCCAGAAGGCAGCUCCUACAGCAGUUCUUCCCACCCAGCCGGCCACACUUCCAUUUUGCUGUCAAGUGCUCUGUCUUGCCUCACUGACACACGUCACCUGGAUGACAGGCCAAAAAGAGCCCCAUCAUCUCUCCUAUCAUUCUUCAAGACAGACAGAAAUGAUUAAACAGAAUUUAUUGGCUGUCUUUGAGUGUCUCUGGUCCAGUGUUGGCAGGGCUGUCUGGGCUCCUCUGCUUUGCUUGUUUUUGGGCUGCUGCUGCAGCCUUUAAGGCUCUUUUUUCCUUCUUCAGCUUUUGAGUCUCCUGGAAAACCUGGGGGUGAAAAGGGGCAGAAAAAGACCUUGUAAUCCUGUGCAAAACCUCAGACUUGGAACAGGUGGGGUGGGAACUAUCUCCCCCAGAUGGUAACCCCAGCCUUUCUCCAUGGGGUUGGUGGCCUCCUGUGACCUCCCUGGAUCCAUUCCAGGGCCUGGGACCAGUUCCAUGCCUCUAACAGAAACAGAUGACCCCUCCCGUCUGCUUCCUCCAUCCCAGUUCCUGAGUGGGGCCAAGCAAAGCAGCAAUUCUGACUCAUACCCGAAUGCACAGAGCCUUCUUGGUCACGAAUCGGCGGUGGGCUCUUCGGUAAUACAGAGGAGGGAAGGUGUACUCAAUCCCCAGCUCCCUGCAGAUCUUCUCAAAGACAUCAUAGUUGGUGUUACGGAGGUUUUUGAGCAUCUUUUUCCUCUGGUCAAUGCUCAUCAGCAGAUAGCGUUUGUGGGCUUUGUCCUGUAAGAGAUUCGCAUUACUUUUAGUAUUAUAUAAGUGUUACUAUUGUUUACAUUAACAAACAAUGGUCAUUUUAUCAUUUCA